This 465-nucleotide ribosomal RNA is filed under the name uncultured bacterium. RNAcentral describes it as "partial 16S ribosomal RNA". It matches the Rfam family "Bacterial small subunit ribosomal RNA", at positions 28 to 507 of the family's 1533-position model. The record is from RNAcentral.
GACGAACGCUGGCGGCGUGCUUAACACAUGCAAGUCGAACGGAAAGGCCCUGCUUGCAGGGUACUCGAGUGGCGAACGGGUGAGUAACACGUGGGUGAUCUGCCCUGCACUUCGGGAUAAGCCUGGGAAACUAGGUCUAAUACCGGAUAGGAGCCAUUUUUAGUGUGAUGGUUGGAAAGUUUUUUCGGUGUAGGAUGAGCUCGCGGCCUAUCAGCUUGUUGGUGGGGUAAUGGCCUACCAAGGCGGCGACGGGUAGCCGGCCUGAGAGGGUGGACGGCCACAUUGGGACUGAGAUACGGCCCAGACUCCUACGGGAGGCAGCAGUGGGGAAUAUUGCACAAUGGGCGCAAGCCUGAUGCAGCGACGCCGCGGGGGGGAUGACGGCCUUCGGGUUGUAAACUCCUUUCGCUAGGGACGAAGCUUUUUGUGACGGUACCUAGAUAAGAAGCACCGGCUAACUACGUG